AAAUCAGGGCUAGGACAGGAAGCAGCUGCGCCCAGUGUGGAGGGCUGAAAGGACCAGAACUUCAUGAAGAGGAUGUAGAAGAUGGUAUCAGUAUUGCAGGUUUACAACCUGCACAGGUGGUAACACACACUCACACACACAAAAAAAUGCCCAGUGUAGUUUAGAGAAUAUAUAGAUGCCUACAUUCAGAAACACACAUUCAUUGGGAUGAAUCUUGUUUUAAAUUGAUUAAUGCUAUUGAUAACUUGCUGUUUCUGUCUAUUUGUUUAGAUUCUCCCAAAGAGGCUCAAAACGUGGCUUCAACUAACACAAAGGAAGACAGGCCUCAGAGGAAAAGGACCAGAGAAACAUUUACAAGAAGCAGCAGUCCAGAGACCAGUUCCUCACCAAGAAAGAGGAUGAGAAUGAUGAUGCCUGAGGAUUCCCAAACAUCAGGCUCUGAGGUGAAAAUCAAACCUCAGAAGAAAAGAAAAAGGGACUCUGCAGAGACCCAGUUUGAAAACAGGAGUCCAGACACCAGCUCUCCGGAGAG
Molecule: long non-coding RNA, 532 nt
Organism: Melanotaenia boesemani (Boeseman's rainbowfish)
Lineage: Eukaryota; Metazoa; Chordata; Actinopteri; Atheriniformes; Melanotaeniidae
Exons: 3
Source: RefSeq, a predicted model, not a curated record